Molecule: long non-coding RNA, 1066 nt
Filed under: Equus caballus (horse)
Lineage: Eukaryota; Metazoa; Chordata; Mammalia; Perissodactyla; Equidae
Description: lncRNA (ENSECAG00000058842.1)
Source: RNAcentral
AUCUUGAGAAUACAAAAUGGCCCUUCUUAGAACCCAUUUCAGCAGGUAGCAACAAUUCAGUCACGUUCCAUGCUUCUGUGUAGCUCCUGCUGUUAAUGGGAUGGGUGAUGGAGCCUACUAGAAUGGAUAUGCAAGCAAUCUCAAGAUUUCAAUCUAUCUGGGUCAGCCAGCCCUUUGUGUGGCGUGAAACAAGCUUCUGCCUUUCUUGGAAACCUGUAGACAGAGGCCUCAUUGCCUUCUCUCUCCACUCACACACGCCUUCCUCUAUCUGCAUUCUAUUGCCACAGGGAUCAAAUGGCUGCCAUGCCAGCCUGCAGAAAUUCCUUGGCUCAGCAGGGCCCCUGAGUCAUCCUUAGAGAGAUACUAGGAGCAAAGAGGCAGAUGAGCAGGACACAAAUGGGCUUUGUCUUGGGGAAGAAGGCUGAGGAAAAGGCAGCACACCCAGCGACGCAAAGAUGCUGCUGUCAGAUGUUCUGUUCAUCCUCCUUUUCAUUUGCUGCUGUCCAUCCCUCCAUUCCUGACGUUUUCGGACACCAGCUCCUGCCAGCUGGGAGCACAAGGAGACCAGGUGACUAUUGUCUAGAAUCUACCAGUGUUCUGAAAAUGGCCUCUUUCCUGUCCACCAAAGGGGAAUCAACAAUGCCAUGGAGAUUUAAAUCAUCAUUAAUGAGGACACUUCUUUAUUAGAAAAGUGAUAUUUAUACAUUAAAGAAAAGGCAAGAAGACUUGAGGAUUUCUCUCCCUAAAGAUGAAAUAUGGGUUGCAUCUAGGAGCUCUCAAAAAACAGGAAGAACUAUUACCUUGAAAAAUAUAUCAAACAAGAGAAAGAGAAGAACCUUUGUGUGGUCUUCUGAGCUAUCAUUCGUUAAAGUAGUUUUCUCGGGCAAAAUGCCCUGAUUAACUGUAUCCUCACAACCAAUGACCACACGAGGGAAAUAAAGGACCUGGUGAGGAGGCCGGUUACAGAUCUGUUUAGCCAAGGGGUAAAGGAAGAGAUUCCCCCAUCCCCCUCUCCCCUAUGGUCCUUCUCCCUGCAACCACUGCCUGCGAAAAGCAUCCCUCCUUU